Molecule: unclassified non-coding RNA, 337 nt
Filed under: soil metagenome
Description: partial contains 5.8S ribosomal RNA, internal transcribed spacer 2, and large subunit ribosomal RNA
Rfam family: 5.8S ribosomal RNA (bases 1-120)
Source: RNAcentral
GAUGAAGAACGUAGCGAAAUGCGAUAAGUAGUGUGAAUUGCAGAAUUCAGUGAAUCAUCGAAUCUUUGAACGCACAUUGCGCCCCUUGGUAUUCCAUGGGGCAUGCCUGUUCGAGCGUCAUCUACACCCUCAAGCUCUGCUUGGUGAUGGGCGUCUGUCCCGCCUUUGCGCGUGGACUCGCCCCAAAUUCAUUGGCAGCGGUCCUUGCCUCCUCUCGCGCAGCACAUUUGCGCUUCUCGAGGUGCGCGGGCCGCGUCCACGAAGCAACUAUUACCGUCUUUGACCUCGGAUCAGGUAGGGAUACCCGCUGAACUUAAGCAUAUCAAUAAGCGGAGGA